This 253-nucleotide ribosomal RNA is filed under the name uncultured bacterium. Its description in RNAcentral is "partial 16S ribosomal RNA". It matches the Rfam family "Bacterial small subunit ribosomal RNA", at positions 524 to 776 of the family's 1533-position model. The record is from RNAcentral.
UACGUAGGGGGCAAGCGUUGUCCGGAAUUAUUGGGCGUAAAGCGCGUGUAGGCGGUCCGGUAAGUCGGCUGUGAAAGUCCAGGGCUCAACCCUGGGAUGCCGGUCGAUACUGCCGGACUAGAGUUCGGAAGAGGCGAGUGGAAUUCCCGGUGUAGCGGUGAAAUGCGCAGAUAUCGGGAGGAACACCAAUGGCGAAGGCAGCUCGCUGGGACGUUACUGACGCUGAGAAGCGAAAGCAUGGGGAGCGAACAGG